RNAcentral lists this ribosomal RNA (245 nucleotides) under uncultured bacterium. Its description in RNAcentral is "partial 16S ribosomal RNA". It matches the Rfam family "Bacterial small subunit ribosomal RNA", at positions 791 to 1035 of the family's 1533-position model. The record is from RNAcentral.
UAGUCCACGCUGUAAACGAUGAGUGCAAGGUGUUGGGGGUCAAACCUCGGUGCCGCCGUUAACACAGUAAGCACUCCGCCUGGGGAGUACGUACGCAAGUAUGAAACUCAAAGGAAUUGACGGGGACCCGCACAAGUAGCGGAGCAUGUGGUUUAAUUCGAUGCAACGCGAAAAACCUUACCAGGGCUUGACAUAAAAGUGACAAGGGAUAGAGAUAUUCCUCUUCUCUUCGGAGACAGUUUUAC